RNAcentral lists this ribosomal RNA (496 nucleotides) under uncultured Glomeromycotina. RNAcentral's name for it is "partial small subunit ribosomal RNA". It matches the Rfam family "Eukaryotic small subunit ribosomal RNA", at positions 591 to 1092 of the family's 1831-position model. Lineage: Eukaryota; Fungi; Glomeromycota. The record is from RNAcentral.
CCAAUAGCGUAUAUUAAAGUUGUUGCAGUUAAAAAGCUCGUAGUUGAAUUUCGGGGUUCUACCGUUGGUCGGGCAAUAGUCUGUACUGGUGUGUAGAAUUUCUACCUUCUGGGGAACUAUCAUGUUAUUUAUUUAGCGUGGUAGGAAACCAGGACCUUUACCUUGAAAAAAUUAGAGUGUUCAAAGCAGGCUUACGUCUGAAUACAUUAGCAUGGAAUAAUAAAAUAGGACGGUGGUCCUGUUUUGUUGGUUUCUGAAUCACCGUAAUGAUUAAUAGGGAUAUUUGGGGGCAUUAGUAUUCAAUUGUCAGAGGUGAAAUUCUUGGAUUUAUUGAAGACUAACUUCUGCGAAAGCAUUUGCCAAGGAUGUUUUCAUUAAUCAAGAACGAAAGUUAGGGGAUCGAAGACGAUCAGAUACCGUCGUAGUCUUAACCAUAAACUAUGCCGACUAGGGAUCGGACGAUGUUAAUUUUUCUUGACUCGUUCGGCGCCUUACG